RNAcentral lists this ribosomal RNA (203 nucleotides) under uncultured bacterium. RNAcentral describes it as "partial 16S ribosomal RNA". It matches the Rfam family "Bacterial small subunit ribosomal RNA", at positions 1300 to 1500 of the family's 1533-position model. The record is from RNAcentral.
GUAGUCUGCAACUCGACUACAUGAAGCUGGAAUCGCUAGUAAUCGCGGAUCAGAAUGCCGCGGUGAAUACGUUCCCGGGUCUUGUACACACCGCCCGUCACACCAUGGGAGUCAGUAACGCCCGAAGCCGGUGACCCAACCUAUUCUGGAGGGAGCCGUCGAAGGCGGGACGGAUGACUGGGGCGAAGUCGUAACAAGGUACC